AUUUGAUCGAAUAAUAAUUGAAUUUUAUUAUAAAUCAAAAAAAGUGUCUCCAUGAAUACAAAUUGAAUUAAUUUGGAGUUUCCCCACGCAAAAACGCUACAUUUAUUGAUUUAAAAGCAUUAUAUCUUAUAAAAAAAACAAAGUGGAUGAGAAACGAAAACUCUCCGAAGAAGAUUGGACCAAUUUAACAAAAUAUUUCAUUGGAAACAACACUCGAUACAGAGACAAUAAUAAUCCUAAAAAAAAGUAAUUUAAUCAUCAAAUGAGUGAUGAUGUUGGGAUGAUCGUGGAGGAGGAUGUGGUAAUAAUUAUAAAAGUAGACGGCUCAAAAAUAAAAGAAAAAACUCCUUAUUAUGAUAAUAAAGCAAAAAUGAAAUGUAAAUGUACGAUUUGUUAAUAAGAAGGUGAGAUGAUUUUAAUGAUUCAAUCUUAAUUUUGGAAACUUUUUAGGUUACGCUCACCCCACUUGUCCGAAUAAAUGAAUUUUGUUGAAUUUA
This 497-nucleotide long non-coding RNA is filed under the name Onthophagus taurus. RNAcentral's name for it is "uncharacterized LOC111423312". The record is from RNAcentral. Lineage: Eukaryota; Metazoa; Arthropoda; Insecta; Coleoptera; Scarabaeidae.